GGACUACAAGGGUAUCUAAUCCUGUUCGCUCCCCACGCUUUCGCUCCUCAGCGUCAGUAUCGGCCCAGAGACCCGCCUUCGCCACCGGUGUUCCUCCUGAUAUCUGCGCAUUUCACCGCUACACCAGGAAUUCCAGUCUCCCCUACCGAACUCAAGUCUGCCCGUAUCCACCGCACGUCCACAGUUAAGCUGUGAAUUUUCACGGCAGACGCAACAAACCGCCUACGAGCUCUUUACGCCCAAUAAUUCCGGACAACGCUCGCACCCUACGUAUUACCGCGGCUGCUGGCAC
This 292-nucleotide ribosomal RNA is filed under the name uncultured bacterium. RNAcentral's name for it is "partial 16S ribosomal RNA". The record is from RNAcentral.